Molecule: long non-coding RNA, 636 nt
Organism: Neofelis nebulosa (Clouded leopard)
Lineage: Eukaryota; Metazoa; Chordata; Mammalia; Carnivora; Felidae
Exons: 3
Source: RefSeq, a predicted model, not a curated record
UUGAGGUCUUUUUCCCCUUGGGAACUUCAGAUACCGAAGCGCUUACCACGUGCCUCGGGAAGAUUCUGCGCUCAGGUUAGGGGCCUAGGGAGCUGUUGAGCGGCAAGGCUGGUGACACUAAACUUGAGAAGCACAGAGCAGACAGAAGAAUCUCGAAAGACAGCGGUAGCACCUGCUGGCCUCCCUCGUUCCCUGCUGCCCUACAGGACGCUGACUUAUUUCUAACUUCCAAGGCACUGGGUGAACCCGGGCUGGCCCAUCACCACCCUGGGCACCGUGAGGAGACGAAGGAGCACUUGCCUCCGGGAGAGGAUAUGCUAUAGCCACGGGUGCACCAAGGCCCACCUACGACGCGCAAAGCAAAGCUCCGGGUUCGAGGCCCAGCAGACACACAGCCCAGUUUACGUCUGUCGAGGCCACUUGAGGGAUUCUUCCAGAGACUGCCAGACGUGCCCACUGCCUUGGGAUCGAGUCCGGGCUACACGGCGGCUCCAAACACCGUUGCCCAGAUCUUUUAACCCCAUCCACAGGCACAGUCAGGCUGGCACCCUGGCCCGGGAAUGCUGUUUCAACGUCGGCCACCUCACGGCCCCGACGGUGGUUUUCCUUUGUCGUGAUCCACUCGCAAAGGCUCCU